RNAcentral lists this long non-coding RNA (563 nucleotides) under Lathyrus oleraceus (garden pea). RNAcentral's name for it is "Pisum sativum (pea) long non-coding RNA (PSAT_LNC025696)". Lineage: Eukaryota; Viridiplantae; Streptophyta; Magnoliopsida; Fabales; Fabaceae. The record is from RNAcentral.
GAUUACAUCAUCUAUGUGACAUUUGUUGUUGAAGAGGAUGGAGGGCGUUAUAUAAAUGCAAGAGACACGUUCAAUGGAUGACUGCUGGCAUGCUUUCAAACGAGAGGAUGGAGGGUGUUAUAUAAAUGCAAGAGACACGUUCAAUGGAUGAAUGCUGGCAUGCUUUCAAACGAAUGAUAACAUGAAUCAUUUGAGUGAGUACACAUCAAAAUAAAAGAGAUAAUGAAACAUUAAAGUUUGAAGGAGAAUUUAGCUAACACUUUUAUUUGAAAUGACUUAUGAUUAUGAUAUUUGGGUCGUCUUUGAAUGGAUGAAAAAUAAAUUAUCGUGCAUCACUCAGAUUUUAUUACGGUUAAAAUAUAAUUAAAUAGAGUAUAGUAUAAUAUUUGUCUCAAUUAAACCGUAAUUAAAUAGGAUAUUUAUUUUUUAUCUUGGAUUAAAUUACAAAUAAUCUAUAAAGGAUAUCGAAAAAUUUGAGAUACUGUUCGUAUCAUGUUGAGAGCCAUGUUCUAAUUUUCAAGCUCUUUAUUAUUUAAUUCCUUAACUAUCUAAUGUUACGAAAA